UACAGAGGUCUCAAGCGUUGUUCGGAUUCAUUGGGCGUAAAGGGUGCGUAGGUGGGAAUGUAAGUCAGUGGUGAAAUCUCUGAGCUUAACUCAGAAACUGCCAUUGAUACUAUGUUUCUUGAAUUUUCUGGAGGUCAGCGGAAUAUGUCAUGUAGCGGUGAAAUGCUUAGAUAUGACAUAGAACACCAAUUGCGAAGGCAGCUGGCUACAGGGAUAUUGACACUGAGGCACGAAAGCGUGGGGAUCAAACAGG
RNAcentral lists this ribosomal RNA (253 nucleotides) under uncultured bacterium. RNAcentral describes it as "partial 16S ribosomal RNA". It matches the Rfam family "Bacterial small subunit ribosomal RNA", at positions 524 to 776 of the family's 1533-position model. The record is from RNAcentral.